AUUGAACGCUGGCGGCAGGCUUAACACAUGCAAGUCGAGCGGAGAUGAGGUGCUUGCACCUUAUCUUAGCGGCGGACGGGUGAGUAAUGCUUAGGAAUCUGCCUAUUAGUGGGGGACAACAUUCCGAAAGGAAUGCUAAUACCGCAUACGCCCUACGGGGGAAAGCAGGGGAUCUUCGGACCUUGCGCUAAUAGAUGAGCCUAAGUCGGAUUAGCUAGUUGGUGGGGUAAAGGCCUACCAAGGCGACGAUCAGUAGCAGAACUGAGAGGUUCAUCUGCCACAUUGGAACUGAGACACGGUCCAAACUCCUACGGGAGGCAGCAGUGAGGAAUAUUGGACAAUGGGCGCAAGCCUGAUCCAGCCAUGCCGCGUGGGUGAAGAAGGCCUUCGGGUUGUAAACUUCUUUUCCAGGGGGUGAAUAAUUCCGAUGUAUCGGGAGAUGACGGUACCCUGGGAAUAAGCAUCGGCUAACUCCGUG
Molecule: ribosomal RNA, 478 nt
Filed under: uncultured bacterium
Lineage: Bacteria
Description: bacterial SSU rRNA
Rfam family: Bacterial small subunit ribosomal RNA
Source: RNAcentral